Molecule: ribosomal RNA, 490 nt
Filed under: uncultured bacterium
Lineage: Bacteria
Description: partial 16S ribosomal RNA
Rfam family: Bacterial small subunit ribosomal RNA
Source: RNAcentral
AUUGAACGCUGGCGGCAGGCCUAACACAUGCAAGUCGAACGGUAACAGGAAACAGCUUGCUGUUUCGCUGACGAGUGGCGGACGGGUGAGUAAUGUCUGGGAAACUGCCUGAUGGAGGGGGAUAACUACUGGAAACGGUAGCUAAUACCGCAUAACGUCGCAAGACCAAAGAGGGGGACCUUCGGGCCUCUUGCCAUCGGAUGUGCCCAGAUGGGAUUAGCUAGUAGGUGGGGUAACGGCUCACCUAGGCGACGAUCCCUAGCUGGUCUGAGAGGAUGACCAGCCACACUGGAACUAAGACACGGUCCAGACUCCUACGGGAGGCAGCAGUGGGGAAUAUUGCACAAUGGGCGCAAGCCUGAUGCAGCCAUGCCGCGUGUAUGAAGAAGGCCUUCGGGUUGUAAAGUACUUUCAGCGGGGAGGAAGGGAGUAAAGUUAAUACCUUUGCUCAUUGACGUUACCCGCAGAAGAAGCACCGGCUAACUCCGUG